CAUAUCCUACGGGGGGCAGCAGUGGGGGAUAUUGCACAAUGGGGGGAACCCUGAUGCAGCGACGCCGCGUGGGUGAAGAAGCGCCUCGGCGCGUAAAGCCCUGUCAGCAGGGAAGAAAAUGACGGUACCUGAAGAAGAAGCCCCGGCUAACUACGUGCCAGCAGCCGCGGUAAUACGUAGGGGGCAAGCGUUAUCCGGAUUUACUGGGUGUAAAGGGGGCGCAAAAAAAAAAACAACAAAAAAGUGAAAGCCCGGAGCCCAACCCCGGGACUGCUCUUGGAACUGCGUGGCUGGAGUGCAGGAGG
RNAcentral lists this ribosomal RNA (305 nucleotides) under uncultured bacterium. Its description in RNAcentral is "partial 16S ribosomal RNA". It matches the Rfam family "Bacterial small subunit ribosomal RNA", at positions 332 to 655 of the family's 1533-position model. The record is from RNAcentral.